CACCUUAUAUGGAUAUAUGGAUCUUGGCGCACUAUUAAUUAUUGCUGCAAAUAAGCUGGUAUGAUCUGCUGCUUGGAGAGCCUUAGGUAAUUGCAUCCCUCUCCUGUAUAGUAGUUGAAACGGCUGACUUGCAACCCAGUCACCCAACUUGUUCUAGUCAAAUUGGCUGUUUAAAGUAGUGUUUUACAUCAUCUUUAUAAAUCAAACUUUCAAGUUUUGUCC
RNAcentral lists this long non-coding RNA (222 nucleotides) under Elaeis guineensis (African oil palm). RNAcentral describes it as "long non-coding RNA (EGUI_LNC012985)". Lineage: Eukaryota; Viridiplantae; Streptophyta; Magnoliopsida; Arecales; Arecaceae. The record is from RNAcentral.